Molecule: ribosomal RNA, 203 nt
Filed under: Escherichia coli
Lineage: Bacteria; Pseudomonadati; Pseudomonadota; Gammaproteobacteria; Enterobacterales; Enterobacteriaceae
Description: partial 23S ribosomal RNA
Rfam family: Bacterial large subunit ribosomal RNA
Source: RNAcentral
AGCCCAGAGCCUGAAUCAGUGUGUGUGUUAGUGGAAGCGUCUGGAAAGGCGCGCGAUACAGGGUGACAGCCCCGUACACAAAAAUGCACAUACUGUGAGCUCGAUGAGUAGGGCGGGACACGUGGUAUCCUGUCUGAAUAUGGGGGGACCAUCCUCCAAGGCUAAAUACUCCUGACUGACCGAUAGUGAACCAGUACCGUGAG